This 100-nucleotide non-coding RNA is filed under the name Meleagris gallopavo (turkey). RNAcentral describes it as "Eukaryotic large subunit ribosomal RNA". It matches the Rfam family "Eukaryotic large subunit ribosomal RNA", at positions 2885 to 2984 of the family's 3401-position model. Lineage: Eukaryota; Metazoa; Chordata; Aves; Galliformes; Phasianidae. The record is from Rfam by way of RNAcentral.
CAAAUCAACCUAUCAUUGUGAAGCAGAAUUCACCAAGCGUUGGAUUGUUCACCCAUUAAUAGGGAAUGUGAGCUGGGUGUAGACCGUUGUGAGACAGGUU